This 772-nucleotide ribosomal RNA is filed under the name uncultured bacterium. Its description in RNAcentral is "bacterial SSU rRNA". It matches the Rfam family "Bacterial small subunit ribosomal RNA", at positions 8 to 796 of the family's 1533-position model. The record is from RNAcentral.
AGAGUUUGAUCAUGGCUCAGGACGAACGCUGGCGGCGUGCCUAACACAUGCAAGUCGAACGGGGCCGGGGGCAACUCCGGUUCAGUGGCGAACGGGUGCGUAACACGUGAGGAACCUGACCAUCGGCGGGGGGAUAGCCGGCCCAACGGCCGGGUAAUACCGCGUACGACCUUCGGGGGGCAUCCCCUGGAGGUGAAAGCAGCAAUGCACCGAUGGAGGGCCUCGCGACCUAUCAGCUAGUUGGUGAGGUCACGGCUCACCAAGGCGACGACGGGUAGCUGGUCUGAGAGGAUGGCCAGCCACAUUGGGACUGAGACACGGCCCAGACUCCUACGGGAGGCAGCAGUGGGGAAUCUUGCGCAAUGGGCGAAAGCCUGACGCAGCGACGCCGCGUGUGGGAUGACGGCCUUCGGGUUGUAAACCACUGUCGGGAGGGACGAAGCUCUGACGGUACCUCCAAAGGAAGCACCGGCUAACUCUGUGCCAGCAGCCGCGGUAAUACAGAGGGUGCGAGCGUUGUCCGGAAUCACUGGGCGUAAAGGGCGCGUAGGCGGCCUGAUAAGUAGGGGGUGAAAUCCUGUGGCUUAACUGCAGGGCUGCCUCCUAGACUGUCUGGCUCGAGCACGGUAGAGGCAGAUGGAAUUCCCGGUGUAGCGGUGGAAUGCGUAGAGAUCGGGAAGAACAUCGGUGGCGAAGGCGGUCUGCUGGGCCGUUGCUGACGCUGAGGCGCGACAGCGUGGGGAGCAAACAGGAUUAGAUACCCUAGUAGUCC